This 300-nucleotide ribosomal RNA is filed under the name uncultured Lactobacillus sp. RNAcentral's name for it is "bacterial SSU rRNA". It matches the Rfam family "Bacterial small subunit ribosomal RNA", at positions 496 to 795 of the family's 1533-position model. The record is from RNAcentral. Lineage: Bacteria; Bacillati; Bacillota; Bacilli; Lactobacillales; Lactobacillaceae.
GGCAAUCCCGUGGCGGCAGCGGGGGGAGAACGGGUGGUGCAAGCGUUAAUUGGAAGGAAUGGGCGGAAAGCGCACGCAGGCGGUUUGUUAAGUCAGAUGUGAAAUCCCCGAGCUUAACUUGGGAACUGCAUUUGAAACUGGCAAGCUAGAGUCUCGUAGAGGGGGGUAGAAUUCCAGGUGUAGCGGUGAAAUGCGUAGAGAUCGGGAGGAAUACCGGUGGCGAAGGCGGCCCCCUGGACGAAGACUGACGCUCAGGUGCGAAAGCGUGGGGAGCAAACAGGAUUAGAUACCCGAGUAGUC